Molecule: long non-coding RNA, 220 nt
Filed under: Hordeum vulgare
Lineage: Eukaryota; Viridiplantae; Streptophyta; Magnoliopsida; Poales; Poaceae
Description: long non-coding RNA (HVUL_LNC009947)
Source: RNAcentral
AUUGCCCCGUUUCGGCUAAUCCCCGUGCCAGGCCCGCCAACCUCCACCCGCGGCCCAGCUCUCCACCGACGGCCCAAGGUCCUGUGGUGAACUGCUGCCCCUAUUCCUUGCCAUGGCGUUAGAUUUUUAUGUUGCGCCGCCCCUGCUUCGGUCCAGUCCAGAGGAUUUGGCCGGCGUUGUGAAUUUUCCCAUGUAGCGAUUUUAUUGAUUAACAUGUGAG